AACGAACGCUGGCGGCAUGCCUAACACAUGCAAGUCGAACGAGACCUUCGGGUCUAGUGGCGCACGGGUGCGUAACGCGUGGGAACCUGCCCUUAGGUUCGGAAUAACUCCCCGAAAGGGGUGCUAAUACCGGAUAAUGUCUUCGGACCAAAGUUUUAUCGCCUUUGGAUGGGCCCGCGUUGGAUUAGCUAGUUGGUAGGGUAAAAGCCUACCAAGGCGACGAUCCAUAGCUGGUCUGUGAGGAUGAUCAGCCACACUGGGACUGAGACACGGCCCAGACUCCUACGGGAGGGAGCAGUGGGGAAUAUUGGACGAUGGGGGAAAGCCUGAUCCAGCAAUGCCGCGUGAGUGAUGAAGGCCGUAGGGUUGUAAAGCUCUUUGACCCGGGAUGAUAAUGACGGUACCGGGAGAAUAAGCACCGGCUAACUACGUG
This 433-nucleotide ribosomal RNA is filed under the name uncultured bacterium. RNAcentral describes it as "partial 16S ribosomal RNA". It matches the Rfam family "Bacterial small subunit ribosomal RNA", at positions 29 to 507 of the family's 1533-position model. The record is from RNAcentral.